AAAUAAAUGAGCAAAUAUAAUAUUUUUGUCUCAUGUGUUUAACUGGGUUCUCUUUAUCUACUUUUAGUACUUGUGUGAAAAUCUGAUGAUGUUUUAGAUCACAUUUAUGCAGAAAUGUAGAAACUUCUAAAGGGUUCACAAACUUUCAAGCACCACUGUAGAUAUAAAAUGAACAGAACUGUAUAACAACUCUGUUUAUGACUCAUGACUCGGUUCCAUGUGGUUCCUGGAUUAGAGCCCACACUUUUACACUGGAGAACCCGGACAAAAGUUCUCAUUCCUUGGGACUCUAAACAGACUGCUGAACUCAGACACACUAAAGUCUGCUGUCUCCCUCAUGUGGCUGUAGCUGGAAAUUACAUCCUAAAACCGCACAGUUUAUACCUCAGUAAUUCCAACCUGAAUGGAAGUCCUUGUCUGGUGUCAUUAUUAAAUCAUUCGAGUGAUUAAACCUGUUCAACAUUCGCCGUUUAGAACUUUUCCUCUCCUGUGUUUGCUUUGUAAAGACGGGGACGUGAGCUGCUGUGAUGGAAGGUCUGAGUGUGAAGGGUGUUCCUCUUCACCCUCAUCACUGUGCUCUCUCUCAAUGUGAAAGCGGAGGUGAGGAAGUUGGACAUGGCUCCUGAUGCAGUAGACGACGAUUUCUCGCAGUGUCGAGAGAAAAUGCUGAAGGCUGUUACUGAACCAGGCG
Long non-coding RNA from Ictalurus punctatus (channel catfish), 691 nucleotides. The record is from Ensembl. Lineage: Eukaryota; Metazoa; Chordata; Actinopteri; Siluriformes; Ictaluridae.